GACGAACGCUGGCGGCGUGCCUAAUACAUGCAAGUUGAGCGCUGAAGGUUGGUACUUGUACCAACUGGAUGAGCAGCGAACGGGUGAGUAACGCGUGGGGAAUCUGCCUUUGAGCGGGGGACAACAUUUGGAAACGAAUGCUAAUACCGCAUAAAAACUUUAAACACAAGUUUUAAGUUUGAAAGAUGCAAUUGCAUCACUCAAAGAUGAUCCCGCGUUGUAUUAGCUAGUUGGUGAGGUAAAGGCUCACCAAGGCGAUGAUACAUAGCCGACCUGAGAGGGUGCUCGGCCACAUUGGGAAUGAGACACGGCCCAAACUCCUACGGGAGGCAGCAGUAGGGGAUCUUCGGCAAUGGACGGAAGUCUGACCGAGCAACGCCGCGUGAGUGCAGGAGGUUUUCGGAUCGUAAAACUCUGUUGGUAGAGAAGAACGUUGGUGAGAGUGGAAAGCUCAUCAAGUGACGGUAACUACCCAGAAAGGGACGGCUAACUACGUG
This 497-nucleotide ribosomal RNA is filed under the name uncultured bacterium. RNAcentral describes it as "partial 16S ribosomal RNA". It matches the Rfam family "Bacterial small subunit ribosomal RNA", at positions 28 to 507 of the family's 1533-position model. The record is from RNAcentral.